Molecule: long non-coding RNA, 655 nt
Filed under: Homo sapiens (human)
Lineage: Eukaryota; Metazoa; Chordata; Mammalia; Primates; Hominidae
Description: non-protein coding LINC00630:21
Source: RNAcentral
CGUUGUGGGUAACGCGGACGUGGAAGAACCUCGUCUGCGGAGGAAAAGUCCCAGGUGCCGAGUCAAUCCCCAUACACAGCCGCCGCCAUUGCCUCGAGUCCUUGUGUCUGACUGUCUGUUCCUGCUGCUGUAUGACACAGCACCUCGAGGCAAGGAAAUAAGAAAACUGCCUCUGAUCCAAGCAGAGAAGGUCUGCCUGUAGAUCUGCUGUAGGGCUUGUCACCAUUGGAAGCAAGGUCCUACUUCAGUGGCAGAUCUGGUGGCCUUGGAGUGGCUGAAGACCACCACCCUCCACAGGGCUGGGCCCAUGCACAGCCAUCCUUCCCUACCUUGAAACUCCUGUAGCCUGUAAUACCAGCUGUGGGUACUACUCUCAGUGUUGGAGAUCAUCAAAAUACAAUUGGACCAGACCCUUUGGAAAUAAUUCUGUGUCUCAAAUGCCCUGUGGAGCACACACUUAAUCAGUUGAUGGCUAUGGAAUUUUCCAACAUCAGCUAAAGAGAAGGGUGAGUGUGGGAUAGAGUGGUGACUUCCAAGCUUCAUGCAGAACCGGACAACAGAAAUUGAGAGGGAAAUUUCUAUGACAGAAGAGAGAAAGAAGAAAAUUGCUGGAAUAAUGACCUUGAAUAGAGGAAAUGGGAUAUCAUCUGGUAAG